GUCCCCGUAGCUCAGCUGGAUAGAGCAUCGGUUUUCUAAACCGACGGUCGCGUGUUCGAGUCACGCCGGGGACGCCA
RNAcentral lists this transfer RNA (77 nucleotides) under Opitutaceae bacterium. RNAcentral describes it as "tRNA-Arg". It matches the Rfam family "tRNA". Rfam says of the family: Transfer RNA (tRNA) molecules are approximately 80 nucleotides in length. Their secondary structure includes four short double-helical elements and three loops (D, anti-codon, and T loops). The record is from RNAcentral. Lineage: Bacteria; Pseudomonadati; Verrucomicrobiota; Opitutia; Opitutales; Opitutaceae.